UACGGAGGGUGCAAACGUUGCUCGGAAUCAUUGGGCGUAAAGCGCACGUAGGUGGCCUGUUAAGUCGGGUGUGAAAUCCCUGGGCUCAACCCAGGAAGUGCACUCGAAACUGGCAGGCUUGAGUACUGAAGAGGAUCGCGGAAUUCCCGGUGUAGAGGUGAAAUUCGUAGAUAUCGGGAGGAACACCAGUGGGCGAAGGCGGCGAUCUGGGCAGAUACUGACACUGAGGUGCGAAAGCGUGGGGAGCAACCAGG
This 254-nucleotide ribosomal RNA is filed under the name uncultured bacterium. Its description in RNAcentral is "partial 16S ribosomal RNA". It matches the Rfam family "Bacterial small subunit ribosomal RNA", at positions 524 to 776 of the family's 1533-position model. The record is from RNAcentral.